This 214-nucleotide small nucleolar RNA is filed under the name Carlito syrichta (Philippine tarsier). Its description in RNAcentral is "Small nucleolar RNA U3 (ENSTSYG00000028484.1)". It matches the Rfam family "Small nucleolar RNA U3". Rfam says of the family: Small nucleolar RNAs (snoRNAs) are involved in the processing and modification of rRNA in the nucleolus. There are two main classes of snoRNAs: the box C/D class, and the box H/ACA class. The record is from Rfam by way of RNAcentral. Lineage: Eukaryota; Metazoa; Chordata; Mammalia; Primates; Tarsiidae.
AAGAUUAUACUUUCAGGUAUUGUUUUAAUACUUUGUUACUAGAGAGGUUUAUCUGAUCGUGUAGAGCACUGGAAAUCAUGAAGAGGAGGUGCAGCAUUCUCUCCUAGAGUGAAGCUGGCUCUUGGUGUUGCUUCACUGUGACUGCCAUUUGCCAUUGAUGAACGUUCUUGCGUUCCUUUGGGGAACAAGAGGGAAAGGACACAGUCUGAGUGGU